GGGUGCGAUCAUACCAGCACUAAUGCACCGGAUCCCAUCAGAACUCCGAAGUUAAACGUGCUUGGGCGAGAGUAGUACUAAGAUGGGUGACCUCUUGGGAAGUCCUCGUGUUGCAUCCC
Molecule: ribosomal RNA, 119 nt
Filed under: Ricinus communis (castor bean)
Lineage: Eukaryota; Viridiplantae; Streptophyta; Magnoliopsida; Malpighiales; Euphorbiaceae
Source: RNAcentral